Microcebus murinus (gray mouse lemur) is the source of this 3515-nucleotide non-coding RNA. The record is from RefSeq and is a predicted model, not a curated record. Lineage: Eukaryota; Metazoa; Chordata; Mammalia; Primates; Cheirogaleidae.
CGGGGGCGGGGCCUCUGAGCGCGGGGAGGCCGCGGCCCGGCCGCACGUGGAGGAACUCGACCACGCAUGCGUGCGCCCGCCAAGCUGCGCUCCGCCGCCUUGGGAAGCAGCCUCCUGCAAGUCCUAAUUUCAGCCAUAAGACAGCUGCGGCUUCUAUCUGCAGACCUCCGAUAGGUACAAAUGGCAGCUGGCUUUUCUUCGAUCAUCUCACAAGUGGGAGUUCGUGAUGGCUGGAAUGGCUGUAUUGAAAUUGUGCCUUACCGUUAGUGAUCCUGAACUUUCAACUAUUCGAACAUGCACCUAACAGUCUCCAAACAUUGCCAGAUGUCCCCUGCAGGGCAAACCGCCUGUGGUAGAGAACCACUGCUGUGAGGGAUAUCUUUUGAGGAAAUGGGGAUGAAGGAGCCCUUCCACAGCAAAAUGAACAAAAUGGGGGAAAGCUUAAAUGCAGAUGCAUUUAUCAGGAAAAACAGAUGUGGCAUAAAGGAGGUGGUGUGUAAAAUAGGCUUAUACAAAGUGAUGCUGGAUACAGAUUAUGGAUGUAUUGCACAGGUGAGAGUUGGAGUUUUAUUUGGGAGGAAGUGGGGAGGUAUUUCAUUAUUGAGCAAAGAAUGGCGAGAUCAGAAGGAUUAAUCAAGCAGUUAUAUGUAACCAGAAUUAGAGAGCAGAUACGAUGUAGGGAGAAGUCAGAUAACAAUUAAAGUAGUCCAAGAGAAGUAAUUUUGAACAAGGGUAGUGGUCAUAGGAUUGGAGAGAAUUAAGGUGUUUACCAGCAGAGUAGAAUUUAGCAGUAUACAGAAUGUGAGGAAGAAUCUCAGGUGACUACAUUUUAAAUGUGGGAGUGAUGGAGAAUGGUAAUACCGUGACUGAAAUUGAUAUCACACAAUGAGAAAUGGGUUAUAGAAGAAAAUAACAAGUUUCAUUGUAAUGAUAGUAAUUAUCUGUUUAAAAUCUUCACAAUUGCCAUUCUAGCUGAUGAGUUUUGAUUAGUUGGUGCUGUAGGCCUUUUUGAAAUUAAGUUGAAUUUUGGUUCUUUCUGAACAAUACAGAGUUAUGACUGCUUUUAGACAUCUAUUUAGUGCCUACUGUAGUGUGAUGUUCACUCCUGAAUGCACAAGAAUGACAAAAACACAACCUUGUCCAUUGCGUGAGACUGUGUGAAAGGUCUAGCAAUACUUGUUUGUCCUAUUCCCUAACCCAUUUUUCCCCAUUUCCACAUUAAGCACAGUCGGAGAUAGAACAAAUCAGUAAGUUUACUCCCUUAUGGUAAAUGUUCAGGUAUGGUGACUUCGUCUGUUAAGUGCUGCUUUAACAGAACACUACGGACUGGGUAAUUUAUAAAGAACAGUUAAUUUCUCACAGUUUGGGGGACUGGAAAUCCAAGAACAGGUGCUUGGGCAUCUGGUGAGGGCUGUUGUAUGCUUCCAAGAUAUUUUGGGUUGUCUGGAGGGGAAGGAUGCUGUAUCCUCAUAUGGCAAAAGGUGGAAGGGCAAAAAGGGUCAAAUUGCCUCCAUCAGGCUAUUUUAUAACUCAGUAAUCUGUUAAUGAGGUAGAACCCUCAUGACCUGAACACCUCCCCAAAGGCCCUACCUCCAAUCCUGUUGCACUGGGGAUUAAGUUUCCAAAACAUGAAUUUUGGGGGCCACAUUCAGACCACAGCAUGUGGUAAAGUACUAUGAAAUACAAAUGGAGGAGCAGCUCUACCUGAAGCUCUGCCCUUUAGGUUGGACCUUACAUCUGUCUACAAAGGUAAACUAUGUGUUUUCUAGGUAGAGGGGCAGCAUGACCAAAAGCAGGUAGGAGUGACAAUGCAUGGUUUCUAAUUAAGGUAGUUGUGUUGGUGGAUUGUUUGUGCAAACAUCUACAAAUUCCAAGGACCUUAAAAUGUUACACUUAGGAUUCCAGUAGGCUGCUUCUGCCAGAAUCAGGGUGCUCUACACUUACUGGGUUUCCAAAGUUACAUACGAUCAUGUAGGAAUACUUAAGAUUAGUGGGUAGAGGAGCAGCCAGUACCAGUUCACAGACCUGUAUUACUACUCUGUAUGUGCUCAUAAUACACCUACUGAUAUAUAUAUUUUAAAUUUAUAUUGUUAAAAUUACCUAAGUUUUAUGAUUUUUUUUCUAACCAAUUAUGAUGUUCUAAUGGAUGGGAAGUUUAAAAAUUGAUCAAGGGUUUUUUCCCACUUUAAUUAGUACAGCUCUCAUACCUUCUUUUCCUGUAGGGCAAGGGAUAAGGGAGUGGAGAGGGAUGGGCUGAGGAGAAUAAACAAACUCUUAAUAGCUCCCCCUUGUUUACAGAAUAAACUCCAACAUUCAAGACUUCACAAUCUCAAUCUAACUUUUUUAAUUAUUAUAUGUGAGAAGAGGUAAGGGAAAACUAAGUAAUAGUACAUUGUAAUAUUGAAUAACCUAUGAAUAUGUACCUCUUGUUCAAAACACCCUGGAAACUGAAAGACCUAAGAGGAUAGAAUAGUGGGAGACACUGAGUAUGAUUGAACAAUUGGUCUUGUAUUGUAUUCUUGAGUUGCACAGGUCACUGCUGCAUUUAUCAACUGUUCUUAUGAAGGCAGAAUGCCUUUCAUAAAUGGAUUGCAAAGGAGAGGGAUUCUCUGCAAAUUAAAAUUCUGACUUACUUGGUAACCACAUUUGGCCAGCUUUAAAUACUUAUCUUUAAUAUUUAAUCACUUUUCUGCACCUCUCUUGUAGACCAAUAAGGUGAGAUAAAUGAUCACUAUAAAGUACUGUGAAGAUUAGCACAAGCUAGGCUGUAGAGAAAAUCUGGCUAAUAAAUGUUGACUUAAAGAGGAAACAUUAUCUGACAAAUACAGUUUGAAUUUGCAUAGUACAUAUGCUCAUAAGAACUAAGACUACUAUUGAUUUUAACAUAUAUGGAAAAAGGGUGGCAAUUUUGGGAGUUAAUUAAAUAUCUCCUAAUUCUUCAGUAUUUUAAUCAUAACUUUAAAGUAAUUUUCUCUAGAAAUCGUAUCUUGUAACUACUAUAAAUUUAGUAUUUCCUUAUAUGGAGCUCUUUUCAUAGAGUUCUUAGUUUACCUCAUGUUUUUAAAAAACCUCAUAACCCAUUUCCACCUUUUCUCACUUAUUUAUCCAGCAACGAAAAUGUUCUACAUUUCUUCAUCACACACACUUUAUUCUCUUUUGCUCUCACCACCACAAAUUCUUUUAUAGCUGUGCGGCCCCUUGCAAACAUUCCUGGGUUUCCUUCCCUCUCAGCGCCCAAUUCUCUGUAUUUAGUCUUCUCAGAAAAAAACCUAUCUAUAACCAGGAUUCCCAUGGAAAAAGAAACAAGUUAUUUCUUUUGAAUCUUUUGACAGAAGAAUAUUGAUAAAGAUUAUACUGAUUGAGCUUUAAGCUUAUUUUCAACUAUAAAUUCUCAGUUCACAGGGUGAAUUCAUUUGUUUCAUCUGUCAUUUUGGGGGGAAUCUAAUACAUCUCAGUAAAAGCAUAUCAGAGCAUUCAAACCGGGCCUUAUUUAAAUAGAUAUUUUAGUGACAGUA